This 467-nucleotide ribosomal RNA is filed under the name uncultured bacterium. Its description in RNAcentral is "bacterial SSU rRNA". It matches the Rfam family "Bacterial small subunit ribosomal RNA", at positions 333 to 793 of the family's 1533-position model. The record is from RNAcentral.
AGCAUCCUACGGGAGGCAGCAGUGGGGAAUAUUGCACAAUGGGCGCAAGCCUGAUGCAGCCAUGCCGCGUGUAUGAAGAAGGCCUUCGGGUUGUAAAGUACUUUCAGCAGUGAGGAAGGUGGGUAUGUUAAUAGCAUAUUCAUUUGACGUUAGCUGCAGAAGAAGCACCGGCUAACUCCGUGCCAGCAGCCGCGGUAAUACGGAGGGUGCGAGCGUUAAUCGGAAUUACUGGGCGUAAAGCGCAUGCAGGUGGUUUGUUAAGUCAGAUGUGAAAGCCCGGGGCUCAACCUCGGAAUUGCAUUUGAAACUGGCAAACUAGAGUACUGUAGAGGGGGUAGAAUUUCAGGUGUAGCGGUGAAAUGCGUAGAGAUCUGAAGGAAUACCGGUGGCGAAGGCGGCCCCCUGGACAGAUACUGACACUCAGAUGCGAAAGCGUGGGGAGCAAACAGGAUUAGAUACCCUGGUAG